Corythoichthys intestinalis (scribbled pipefish) is the source of this 1592-nucleotide long non-coding RNA. RefSeq lists it as uncharacterized. NCBI's taxonomy places the organism in Eukaryota, Metazoa, Chordata, Actinopteri, Syngnathiformes, Syngnathidae. The transcript is spliced from 3 exons. The record is from RefSeq and is a predicted model, not a curated record.
CCAAGCUCACACAGAACACAGAGCCUGAGAGGAGACGAAAAUACAGUGGCAAAGUUUAAACUCAAUCUUUGAAUCGAUUCUGAAUCGCAGAGCAGAAAACAGCUCACACUGCUAAUACCGGUGUGUUUGGAGAAGGUUAGCUCGCUAUCAUCCCGCUCGUACCCCGUUUCCAUUUCAACCUCUGUGUCCGAGUUUUCAUCGUCAUAUGAAUCGUCAUUUGAAUCACCAUAUGAAUCGUCAUUUGAAUCGCUUGCCUCUUUGAAGUCAAUGUCCUCCAAAUUGUCUGCCAAGUUAUCUGGAAGUAGAAACUGAGAGUUAACAGUGUUGAUUAAGAAACCUCCUCCAUUCAUUUUCUGUAGACGUUAUCCUCGUUAGGGUGUGUUUAGUCUAUCAAAUCUGUCAUUGUACACCCCUGGACCGGAUUCAAAACAUUAUGCCCUCCAACCUCACAUUGACUGCCAUUGUCGGCGAAAGCUGUCCAAUCCAUUGACUGGGAAGGCGAGGAGUGAAUGGCCAAAGCCAAUCCUCGCAGUUCAUAUAGGUUGGACGUCUAUUACGGAAAACUUUUGAAAUGGAAAUUUCACCUGCUGUGGAUAACACACACUCGCAUGGAACCAACGAUGCCAGCAUGCACAAGAAUUUCUUUGCCAGUUGAAAGAGGUUUGGAUAAGAUGUUGGCUCCUCCAGUAUUGAAGAAAAUCUGCAUUGCGUGCCAUGUUCAGCUCAACCAUGCAUCGUUGCACUUUUGCAAUUUCAUCUACAGUUGCAUUGCCUCCUUGACUCCCCACUUCGUCAUCUAAGUGGUACCGUAGCCCAUCAGAAAAAAAUUGAAGUGGACAAUAAAUAAAUAUAGCUUAAUUACCAAUUUCUAACAAAUUACCAAAAAAGCUACUGUGGGAAAGUAAAGGAAUGGCUCUAUACCUGUGUGUAUUUUGGGAUUAUCAGAAACUUCAUUCUCAUGCUUGGCCCAAUAAUGCUUCAGCAUUGGGGAGGUGGCUACUGUUUGUAUAUGACUGGUUGAAAGUACAAAUGCGACAUUUCACCUGCAAAAAAAUAACGUUAAUAAUAUAACCGCUGACUUUGGAGCCGCGCCGUGCGACGCAAUCCAUUCAGACCAGGAGUCCCACCUGCGCGCACGACGCAUCGAGGACAAAAGAGCAUGUUGACAACGAGGAAGUAACCAGUGAGAUGUGGAUUGUUUCAGCAGCUCCAUCGCGUUGACAGACGCGCUUCCUUUUGAACCAGUUUGCCGCGUCAUGACUGUGUCGACACAGUUCAAUGAGUUCAUGCAUCGGUCACGUGAUUUUCUUGUAGUGAUACGCGCACCGACGCAGGGGUUGCUCCAUGAGCUCGGCGCGCGCGCCGGCGCAUUUAUAUCACUGGACCCAUCACUAGUUUUCACAACUAGAAUAUUGUUUUUCCAGAAAAUGUCUAGAUUUCCUUGAUUUACGCACUUGUGGUAAUAUAUUAAAGAUGACAUCAUGUCAUACAAAAUUACACUAAGUUAAGUUCUAAGAGGUAGUUCGUAGUUUGUUUCGUUGCAUCGACAUAUAAAAACAUUUUUUCACCAGAAAGUUUGGGUUUGUUUGGUC